Molecule: unclassified non-coding RNA, 520 nt
Filed under: uncultured Glomus
Lineage: Eukaryota; Fungi; Glomeromycota; Glomeromycetes; Glomerales; Glomeraceae
Description: SSU rRNA
Rfam family: Eukaryotic small subunit ribosomal RNA
Source: RNAcentral
CGCAGCCGCGGUAAUUCCAGCUCCAAUAGCGUAUAUUAAAGUUGUUGCAGUUAAAAAGCUCGUAGUUGAAUUUCGGGGUCAGUAGGUUGGUCGUGCCACUGGUAUGUACUGGUCUCACUGAUUCCUCCUUCCUGAUGAACCGUAAUGCCAUUAAUUUGGUGUUGCGGGGAAUCUGGACUGUUACUUUGAAAAAUUAGAGUGUUUAAAGCAGGCUAACGCUUGAAUACAUUAGCAUGGAAUAAUGAAAUAGGACGAUCGAUCCUAUUUUGUUGGUUUCUAGGAUUGACGUAAUGAUUAAUAGGGAUAGUUGGGGGCAUUAGUAUUCAAUUGUCAGAGGUGAAAUUCUUGGAUUUAUUGAAGACUAACUACUGCGAAAGCAUUUGCCAAGGAUGUUUUCAUUAAUCAAGAACGAAAGUUAGGGGAUCGAAGACGAUCAGAUACCGUCGUAGUCUUAACCAUAAACUAUGCCGACUAGGGAUCGGAUGAUGUUAAUUUUUAAUGACUCAUUCGGCGCCUUAAC